This is a long non-coding RNA of Neopelma chrysocephalum (saffron-crested tyrant-manakin), 1822 nucleotides long. RefSeq lists it as uncharacterized. Lineage: Eukaryota; Metazoa; Chordata; Aves; Passeriformes; Pipridae. The record is from RefSeq and is a predicted model, not a curated record. The transcript is spliced from 10 exons.
GGCCGUGGGAGUCGAGGCGCGGCGCCAUUUUGUUUGCCGUGAGGGCCGCGGGAAGGGCGCAGGCACGGGCUGCCCGGCGGGAAGGAGUCCGUCCUGCCAGGACCAGAUGCACUCAGAAAUGGUGUGUUCGAGCAGGAGCUGCACCACACCUCAUGAACUGCAAAGCAGCAUAAGGCAGCUGGAGCUUCCAGAUCCAGCAUUUUGUGUACGAGUGAAAAGUCUUCUUGGAUAAUUAAGACUGUGUCUAAAAUCACAGUUACAGUAUGCUGAUCUAUAAGGAAACUCAGGUCUAACGGACAGGCCCAUCCCAGAGGAGGCCACGUCCUCGUUCAUGGCACACGUCUUUGUCCCCUGCUCUGAGCUGCCUUCAGAGGACACCAACUGCUCUCCGCUGCCUGCCCAGGAAGUUGAGAAGGAGGAGCCUCUCAAGCCAGGUCAGGAGUGACGUUUUGUGGCACAUGAUUACUGAACAUCCAUCCGUGUAUUUCUGUGAGGAAACUUCACUGGGACAAUAUAAACAUCUGCUUAAAGCUCAAGUAUUGUAUCAAACAAGGACAACAGCAACACACCUUGGAACGGGCAGUCGGAGAGCCAGUCCCUCACGUGUGCUGCUGCUGCUGCAGAUGGAGUCACAGCAAUACAGAGGCUGCAAGAGGCUCAGCAGGGAUUUACAAAGCCAGGAAUGAAGAUGAGCAUAGAGAGAAACUGGAUAUUGAAAUUAAAAAAUUUGGCAAAAUUGGGUGUCUGUAGCACUGUAUUCUCCAGUCUCUUUGGAGAACACAACUGUGCCAAAUAAUGUCACUUGGAACAGCAGCAAAGACACUUCCAGCUCUUCCUUUGUUAAAGAAGCUCCCUCAGCCUUUGCAUCCCCCCCAUCUCCUUGGGAUCGAGUCCCCAGCGUCAGACUUUGCCCUCCUGUCAACAUCAAGCAACAAAUCUCUGAACAGCAGCAGAAGAUCCACAGGAGCAUCCUGGAGGCAACACCCGAGCCCCAGGACCCUGCUGUUCUAGAGGACAAUGGAGCCCCUCUUCUGUCAGGCAGCAGAACACACACAGUCUGUUCUCGGGAAGAACAGGAGCCAGGAAGGACAAGAAGAACAUUGCAGGACACCAGCAAGGGACCCGAGCCUUUCUGCAAGCACCUCAUCCACAUUCCAGCUCUGCCCGGGAAAGGUCAGGAUGGGCUUUGCAAAGGAGAACUGUGAGCAAGGCAACAGCCCAACGCAGACCCAGGAUUCUCCGUCCUCUCCCAUUCCAGGGUGUUUUAGAGGGAGACCACCGGAAACACAAGGUAAUUUAGCUACGGAAUAGAGCCCAAAAACCCAAAGAGCAACAUGUUUACUCACUCCUAUAAUUCACAAGGAUUCCUGUGCAGGUUUUUUGUUAAAGGACAUGAAUUGAGGUUUUCAGAGAAGUUCAAUGGGAACACUGUCCCUCUGUGAGCUGGAACAGGCACGAACUGGGACUGUUCUCUGCCAUCAGCGCUCCGUGAAAAACUUGCACAUAAGAAGGAAAAACUACACAAGUGCCAAGAAGUGCAGAAGUACAACUGAAAAAAUAUUGCCUCUGGCCUUGUAGCUUGUAUCAAUUAUUGCUUUAACAAAAGAUUAUCAGCAAAUAUCAGGUAGGGCAGCUCAGGCUUCUGCUUCCUUAAACAUCAAGUACAAAGUUUCUGUUUAUCAAAUCACGCUGCAAGUGCAACAAAGGUACUCAAACUCUGCUUUCCACAGAAAGGUUCGAGACUUAAAUUUUUCUGCUCUUUCAAUCUGUAUCAGUUUUUCCUGUUGCUUUAAACAGGAAUUUUCCUUUUGGUUUCAUCCCU